This is a long non-coding RNA of Coregonus clupeaformis (lake whitefish), 201 nucleotides long. RefSeq lists it as uncharacterized. The transcript has 3 exons. Lineage: Eukaryota; Metazoa; Chordata; Actinopteri; Salmoniformes; Salmonidae. The record is from RefSeq and is a predicted model, not a curated record.
AAGAACAGGAAGUGGCGUUUCCUACCGAAAAUGCAUAAGUUUCCAAAGAUCAUGAUUAAGCUGUUCAAGACAAAAGGGGAACCGAAGAGACACCCUGAACAGGAUGCGCUGCCUACCAAACAUCUCAGAGAGACUCAUAUUUCACAGGAUGCUGAGUGUGAGGUUCCAGAGGUUCCAUCCACUUCCCCACCCAAGGAGGAC